CGGGAGGCUGCACCAGUGGGGAAUAUUGGACAAUGGGGGAAACCCUGAUCCAGCAAUGCCGCGUGUGUGAAGAAGGCCUGCGGGUUGUAAAGCACUUUCGGUUGGGAGGACUGCUUCUAGCACUAAUAUUGUUGGAAGUUGACGUUACCUUCAGAAGAAGCACCGGCUAACACCGUGCCAGCAGCCGCGGUAAUACGGAGGGUGCAAGCGUCAAUCGGAAUUACUGGGCGUAAAGCGCGCGUAGGCGGCUAGAUCAGUCGGGUGUGAAAGCCCCGGGCUUAACCUGGGAACUGCAUCCGAUACUGUCUAGCUUGAGUACAGGAGAGGAGAGUGGAAUUCCACAUGUAGCGGUGAAAUGCGUAGAUAUGUGGAGGAACACCAAUGGCGAAGGCAGCUCUCUGGCCUGAUACUGACGCUGAGGUGCGAAAGCGUGGGGAGCAAACAGGAUUAGAUACCCUCGUAGUC
This 465-nucleotide ribosomal RNA is filed under the name uncultured bacterium. Its description in RNAcentral is "partial 16S ribosomal RNA". It matches the Rfam family "Bacterial small subunit ribosomal RNA", at positions 342 to 795 of the family's 1533-position model. The record is from RNAcentral.